This 365-nucleotide long non-coding RNA is filed under the name Aquilegia coerulea. Its description in RNAcentral is "long non-coding RNA (ACOE_LNC001502)". The record is from RNAcentral. Lineage: Eukaryota; Viridiplantae; Streptophyta; Magnoliopsida; Ranunculales; Ranunculaceae.
CUAAAGGUUCAACUUUGGGGAACAUUAUGCGACUCCAUUGAAGAAGGAGUCAAUCUCAAGAAAACUGGAAAACCCGCUUUUGUUAUACUAACGUCAAUGAUGACAAACAACUGGAAUGGUAAAUUUUAAAUAAAAUUUACAAAUAAAAAAUUAUUAAGAACAAUAUUAUAUAUUUAAUUUAAUUGUUUUUGUCAGAUUGCUAUGCACAAAGUUCAUUUGGAACAAGGUUAUUGAUCAACGAGGAAGAUGAAACAAUCAACAAAAUUGCAGAACUAAUGGUUGAUAUUCCAGAUGAAAUUUUCGAUGACCAGAGGACAAUAACCGAGCUAAGGAAGAUAGCCCAAGGAAAUAAACCAAAGGUUUGA